RNAcentral lists this ribosomal RNA (1374 nucleotides) under uncultured Gammaproteobacteria bacterium. RNAcentral's name for it is "uncultured gamma proteobacterium 16S ribosomal RNA". It matches the Rfam family "Bacterial small subunit ribosomal RNA", at positions 30 to 1394 of the family's 1533-position model. The record is from RNAcentral. Lineage: Bacteria; Pseudomonadati; Pseudomonadota; Gammaproteobacteria.
UGAACGCUGGCGGCAGGCCUAACACAUGCAAGUCGAACGGUAACAGGAAGAAGCUUGCUUCUUUGCUGACGAGUGGCGGACGGGUGAGUAAUGUCUGGGAAACUGCCUGAUGGAGGGGGAUAACUACUGGAAACGGUAGCUAAUACCGCAUAACGUCGCAAGACCAAAGAGGGGGACCUUAGGGCCUCUUGCCAUCGGAUGUGCCCAGAUGGGAUUAGCUAGUAGGUGGGGUAAAGGCUCACCUAGGCGACGAUCCCUAGCUGGUCUGAGAGGAUGACCAGCCACACUGGAACUGAGACACGGUCCAGACUCCUACGGGAGGCAGCAGUGGGGAAUAUUGCACAAUGGGCGCAAGCCUGAUGCAGCCAUGCCGCGUGUAUGAAGAAGGCCUUCGGGUUGUAAAGUACUUUCAGCGGGGAGGAAGGUGUUGUGGUUAAUAACCACAGCAAUUGACGUUACCCGCAGAAGAAGCACCGGCUAACUCCGUGCCAGCAGCCGCGGUAAUACGGAGGGUGCAAGCGUUAAUCGGAAUUACUGGGCGUAAAGCGCACGCAGGCGGUCUGUCAAGUCGGAUGUGAAAUCCCCGGGCUCAACCUGGGAACUGCAUUCGAAACUGGCAGGCUUGAGUCUCGUAGAGGGGGGUAGAAUUCCAGGUGUAGCGGUGAAAUGCGUAGAGAUCUGGAGGAAUACCGGUGGCGAAGGCGGCCCCCUGGACGAAGACUGACGCUCAGGUGCGAAAGCGGGGGGAGCAAACAGGAUUAGAUACCCUGGUAGUCCACGCCGUAAACGAUGUCUAUUUGGAGGUUGUGCCCUUGAGGUGUGGCUUCCGGAGCUAACGCGUUAAAUAGACCGCCUGGGGAGUACGGCCGCAAGGUUAAAACUCAAAUGAAUUGACGGGGGCCCGCACAAGCGGUGGAGCAUGUGGUUUAAUUCGAUGCAACGCGAAGAACCUUACCUGGUCUUGACAUCCACAGAACUUUCCAGAGAUGGAGGGGUGCCUUCGGGAACUGUGAGACAGGUGCUGCAUGGCUGUCGUCAGCUCGUGUUGUGAAAUGUUGGGUUAAGUCCCGCAACGAGCGCAACCCUUAUCCUUUGUUGCCAGCGGUUAGGCCGGGAACUCAAAGGAGACUGCCAGUGAUAAACUGGAGGAAGGUGGGGAUGACGUCAAGUCAUCAUGGCCCUUACGACCAGGGCUACACACGUGCUACAAUGGCGCAUACAAAGAGAAGCGAACUCGCGAGAGCAAGCGGACCUCAUAAAGUGCGUCGUAGUCCGGACUGGAGUCUGCAACUCGACUCCAUGAAGUCGGAAUCGCUAGUAAUCGUGGAUCAGAAUGCCACGGUGAAUACGUUCCCGGGCCUUGUACUCACCGCC